AUGUGUGGAAAUGACAAUGAAACUUUGUUUCAUUCGCUGAUGGAGUGUGAUAUUGCUCUGCGAUUCUGGGAGGCGGCCGAACGGUUCUUUGAUAUUCGUAUCCCGAGGCUGAACCCAAUGACAUGGUCAAGUGAUCUACUUGAUCAUAGACUGUUCAAGAAGGAAGAGGCUGCUAUUAUGAUUACGGUCAUGUGGGCGGUGUGGCACUCAAGGAACAGAUAUACACAUGGAGAACAGGAGUAUCAACCGUCGCAAUCCAUGAUCAUCAUUGAAGAGAUAGUGCGAGCUUUGGAGAUUCCAGCUACAGAAAAGACCCAGGCCGUUGCCCUCCCAAGAUGGCAGCCACCGGAAGAGGGUUGGGUUAAAAUCAACACGGAUGGAGCUACACACUCUGCAAGGGUGCGAGGAGGAACGGGCUUUGUUGCCCGUGAUCACCAUGGACAUUAUCUGAGAGCGGGAGGCUCAAAGUGUGAGGGGAUGAAUGAUCCGUUGACUCUUGAACUUCUUGCCUGCAGAGACGCACUUUCCAUGGCACAUGAUAUGGGUCUACACCAAGUUGAAGUCGAAACGGAUUGCCAGGAAAUCAUACGGCUGUGGGAGACUACGCAGAAAUCGUCAUGUUAUCAUCUGUUGAGAGAGAUGGAAGUGUUGAGUACCUUUUUCAGGGAUUCAGGCUACGGUUCGCCAGCCGGCGAUGUAGUACGGUGGCUCACCGGGUAG
RNAcentral lists this ribosomal RNA (720 nucleotides) under Triticum aestivum (bread wheat). RNAcentral's name for it is "partial small subunit ribosomal RNA". Lineage: Eukaryota; Viridiplantae; Streptophyta; Magnoliopsida; Poales; Poaceae. The record is from RNAcentral.